RNAcentral lists this long non-coding RNA (373 nucleotides) under Ananas comosus (pineapple). RNAcentral's name for it is "long non-coding RNA (ACOM_LNC022030)". Lineage: Eukaryota; Viridiplantae; Streptophyta; Magnoliopsida; Poales; Bromeliaceae. The record is from RNAcentral.
AUGGAAUUAAAAGGUAAAAAAUGCAAGACCAAAAUAAAGUUCUUAUAAGCAGUGUUUGGUUACGGGAUAGGGAUAGGGAUAGGGAUACGUCCUUAUCUCCUUCUUUAUACCCAAACGUUAAUUUUUUAUCCCAAAAUAAUAGUUCUCGAUUAUCCCCACCAACACCUUUUUUUUCUAUAUAAAACUACCUAAUAUUUUUUUAUCUCCAGAAACAACCCAAUUUUCAUCCAAACGCUAUUUUUCUUAUCCCCAUACUUGUACCUAUUCUUAUAAUAACUAGUUCUUGCUUAUACCCGAAUCAAACAAUACCAUAAAGUAUAAUGCACCAUUGAUUUAAGCACAUAGCUAUAUACAUAUCCAACUCUCUCUUUUC